This 360-nucleotide long non-coding RNA is filed under the name Anas platyrhynchos platyrhynchos (common mallard). RNAcentral describes it as "lncRNA (ENSAPLG00000029692.1)". The record is from RNAcentral. Lineage: Eukaryota; Metazoa; Chordata; Aves; Anseriformes; Anatidae.
UGCUCCAAGGUCUGCCCUGUGCAUUGAUGAGCCUAUGGCAGGGCAAGUGAGAUGACUGUCAUGAGCUCUGCAAGGACACAGCAGUGAGGACAUGGCAAGGACCCAGCAGCAGGGACAUGGGCACAAGCAUGUGGGUGCCCCAGCUCUCACUCCCUCUAAGCAAAACCCUCUGUGCCCCAAGGUGCAGCAGCUGGCGCGACCACCCAGGAUAUCGGAAGCUCCCCAGGUGCCUGCAGAGGGAGAUGCCCAAGGUGAGCACCAAGGGCUCCUUCCUUUGGGGUAUUGGGGAGGGAUUUGGGGGCAUGGCGGGGCUGUCGGGUGCUCCUUGGCAGGGGCAGCAUUCUCUGUGUGUGUGUGGCU